Molecule: long non-coding RNA, 1609 nt
Organism: Lutra lutra (Eurasian river otter)
Lineage: Eukaryota; Metazoa; Chordata; Mammalia; Carnivora; Mustelidae
Exons: 4
Source: RefSeq, a predicted model, not a curated record
GCCAAUGCAAGAGAGUCUCCGGGCUUUUGCGUGCCUUCUGGAGACAAACAAGCCAGACGAGACUUCAGAUCCCGGGGCUGAACUUUGAUAUCAAAGCUGAAAUCUGAAUAAAAAGCAAGACCUAGAGAAGAACUGCCCGGCUCAGGAGGAGAGCUCGCCCUUCAUUCCUGAGGCGCCAGGCGACUACGCCAUCAGCACCAGGAGGAGGCACAGCCUCAGCCCCGCUUGUAAACUGCCCGCUGGACAUCCCCACCUGGGCGCCCCACUGACCUGGGAGCUGUGGCAGCCCACUAACGGGUCUUGUAACCAUCAAAGACUCAAACCCCAAGGAUCUCGAGGCAUGGCUAAAAACAGACCCACUCAACUUGAACCGGGUCCCGCCUCUGGCUCAACCCGCGUUGUUCACACCUUACCCCACCUCAGCCUCUCUCAAUCUGCCUCCUAGCUUUAUCUUCUCCUGGACACUCCAUACUCCAGCUUGCGUGGAGGUGGUCUGCUCACGGAUCCCAAAUCCCCACCCCGCAGUUUCACACGUCUGUGGCUUUUCUCGUGCUCUUCCUCCUCUCCAACACCUCCUUUCACUCUCAAAUUCCUUUGCCUCCUGGAAUCCCACCCACUCGGCAAAGCCGCCUGAAAGUCAGCCAUCUCCGAUCCUGAAGAACCCAAAGCGUGUCUUGGACAUUUCCUGGAUGCUCUUUGCCCUGAGGUUCUUAACCUUGACUGUGCCUUUGACUCCCCUGAAAAGCUUCCCCAUCCCCAGGCUUCUCCCCAGAUCGAUUAAAUCGGAACCUGUGGGGAAGAACCUCCGGUGUUUUUAUAGCUCCCCAGGUGAUUCCAAUAUGCAGUCAAGGUCGAUAACCACUGCGUUGUACCAUUUAUCACUUUCUUCCUUGUAGUUGUAAUUACACCGUAUUUGUCUUAUUCCCACUACUAAAUUUGAAACUCCUUGAGGGCACAGACCAUCUUAUCACAUCUGCUGAUCCCCUGCAGUUCUUAGUGAAUCAGAGAUGCAAUAAAUAUUGUUGAAUUGAACUUGGAAUCUUGAAAUUGACCAUAAACUUCAAUUUCAGAUCUUGCAUACAAUUUUAGAAAAGGAAUCUUAUUAGUGGAGGUCUAAUCUGAAUUAAAAAAAAAAAAGCAAGGUGUUAUUUGCCAUUACCAAAAAAAUAGUCAGAUAGGACUUUGAAAUCAGAAUAGCUCUCAUUAAAGACGAAUGAACCGCAACUACGUGCAUGGCCGAGACUGCCCUUUGCUUUUACACUUUCCUUUCUGAGGCACUCACAAAUAAAAUGAAUAUUCUGGGAUUCUUUGAAAGCUGACUGUCAGAUGUGACUGCGUCGAUGUGCUCAUUUCUAACUGAAAUAAACAAAAGCAGUCGGUAACUCGCACAGUGAUCCGCCUUCCCCAGCUCUGAGACAGAAGGUACCACAAGCAAAACCGCAACGUGAACUUAACACAGAGUAUCUGACCUCCUUUCAAGAACCACAGAAAAUGAAAUGAAAAAUGAGACAAGGAAGACUUGCCAGCCUUUCAUAUGGCUGCAGUUGCUAAGGAAACUGCUUUCUUAGCUUCAACCUGUCCAGUAUAGCCCGUUUCACAUAUUCUUCUG